This 386-nucleotide ribosomal RNA is filed under the name uncultured bacterium. Its description in RNAcentral is "bacterial SSU rRNA". It matches the Rfam family "Bacterial small subunit ribosomal RNA", at positions 30 to 410 of the family's 1533-position model. The record is from RNAcentral.
AGUGAACGCUGGCGGCAGGCCUAACACAUGCAAGUCGAACGGCAGCACGGCAGUAGCAAUACUGUGGGUGGCGAGUGGCGGACGGGUGAGGAAUACAUCGGGAUCUACCCUGUUGUGGGGGAUAACGUAGGGAAACUUACGCUAAUACCGCAUAAGAACUGAGGUUGAAAGCGGCGGACCGCAAGGCGUCGCGCGAUUGGAUGAACCGAUGUCCGAUUAGCUAGUUGGCGGGGUAAAGGCCCACCAAGGCGACGAUCGGUAGCUGGUCUGAGAGGACGACCAGCCACACUGGAACUGAGACACGGUCCAGACUCCUACGGGAGGCAGCAGUGGGGAAUAUUGGACAAUGGGCGCAAGCCUGAUCCAGCCAUGCCGCGUGGGUGAAG